RNAcentral lists this ribosomal RNA (428 nucleotides) under uncultured bacterium. Its description in RNAcentral is "bacterial SSU rRNA". It matches the Rfam family "Bacterial small subunit ribosomal RNA", at positions 354 to 796 of the family's 1533-position model. The record is from RNAcentral.
GUGGGGAAUAUUGCACAAUGGGCGAAAGCCUGAUGCAGCAACGCCGCGUGAACGAAGAAGGCCUUUGGGUCGUAAAGUUCUGUCGGAAGGGAAGAAAGAAAUGACGGUACCAUCCAAGGAAGCCCCGGCUAACUACGUGCCAGCAGCCGCGGUAAUACGUAGGGGGCGAGCGUUAUCCGGAAUUAUUGGGCGUAAAGGGUGCGUAGGUGGUUUUUUAAGCGUAUGGGUGAAAGGCAGUGGCUCAACCAUUGUAAGCCUAACGAACUGAGAGACUUGAGUGCAGGAGAGGAAAGCGGAAUUCCUAGUGUAGCGGUGAAAUGCGUAGAUAUUAGGAGGAACACCGGUGGCGAAGGCGGCUUUCUGGACUGUAACUGACACUGAGGCACGAAAGCGUGGGGAGCAAACAGGAUUAGAAACCCUUGUAGUCC